RNAcentral lists this non-coding RNA (712 nucleotides) under Pan troglodytes (chimpanzee). The record is from RNAcentral. Lineage: Eukaryota; Metazoa; Chordata; Mammalia; Primates; Hominidae.
CUUGGUGUGUCCCCUUCUCUUGGAUCUACUGCAGUUGACAGCAGAUAACUGAAAGCUCGGAAAGCGAAACCGUGGAUAAGCAGGGGAACUGUGGCAUCCCAUUUAAAAUUGCUUCUGAAGAGAAGCAUGAGGUUACAUCUGUAAUCUCCCUGCAGCAGAGUCAACUGCAUAAGAAACCAAAAGACACACCUGCUCCAUGCCAGCUUCGAUAAUUUCUUUGUACCUUCGGCGAAAGAAGCCCAUCUGAAAGGCAGAAAGAAAGAGGAGAAGCUGAGUUAGAAGUGCUGAAGAAUCAGCCAUUGUGACCCCAAGGCAGUCUGUCCCUGGCCUAAGCCACCACAUAAAAAGUCAGACCAUCUGCUGGAAGAACCACAUGGAGAGGCCCUGAGUCGACAUGGAGAGGAAGAAGGACUUAACUGAAUCCAGCCUUCCAGCUGUCCCUACCAAGGUGCCAGGCACGAGAAUGAAGCUGUCUUGGACUCUGAAGACCAGCUUAGCCACCAGGUAAAUGCCACUAAGUGACCUCACUCAAUGUCAUGUGGGACGGAAGAAUCACCCCGCCAAACCCUUCCUGGAUCCCUGACCCAGAAAUUUGUCAGAUGUAAUGGUUGUGAAAAGCCACUCAAUUUGGGGGCAGUUUGUAUGCAGCAUAGCUAGCUGGUAUGAUACAACAGCCUGCAAUUCAGGCAGCAGCAGCACUAACAACGAUGAA